RNAcentral lists this ribosomal RNA (766 nucleotides) under uncultured Candidatus Poseidoniales archaeon. RNAcentral's name for it is "bacterial SSU rRNA". It matches the Rfam family "Archaeal small subunit ribosomal RNA", at positions 1 to 772 of the family's 1478-position model. The record is from RNAcentral. Lineage: Archaea; Methanobacteriati; Thermoplasmatota; Candidatus Poseidoniia; Candidatus Poseidoniales.
UUCCGGUUGAUCCUGCCGGAGGCUACCGCUAUUGGAGUUCGAUUAAGCCAUGCGAGUCGCGAGAAAUUAGAUUCUCGGCGUACCGCUCAGUAACACGUGGGUAACCUGCCCUAUGCUGGAUAAUAACCUCGGGAAACUGAGAAUAAUGAUCCAUAGUUCACUACGCCUGGAACGGUGAGUGGAUGAAAGCUCCGGCGGCAUAGGAUGGGCCUGCGGCGUAUCAGGUUGUAGGGGGUGUAACGUACCCUCUAGCCCUCUACGCGUACGGGUGUUGGGAGACAUAGCCCGGAGAUGGAUUCUGAGACACGAAUCCAGACCCUACGGGGUGCAGCAGGCGCGAAAACUUGGCAAUGCGAGAAAUCGUGACCAGGGAACUCCAAGUGCAUCGGGUAAGACCGGUGCUUUUCUUGACUCUAAAUAGGUCUUGGAAUAAGGGGUGGGUAAGGACGGUGCCAGCCGCCGCGGUAAUACCGGCGCCUCAAGUGGUAGUCGCUUUUAUUGGGCCUAAAACGUCCGUAGCCGGUCUGAUACAUUCGUGGGUAAAUCAACCAGCUCAACUGGUUGAAUUCUGCGAGGACGGUCAGACUUGGGACCGGGAGAGGUGUGGGGUACGCUCAGGGUAGGGGUAAAAUCCUGUCAUCCUGAGCGGACCACCUGUUGCGAAGGCGCCACACUAGAACGGAUCCGACGGUCAGGGACGAAGCCUAGGGGCACGAACCGGAUUAGAUACCCGGGUAGUCCUAGGUGUAAACGCUGUGGACUUGAU